Molecule: long non-coding RNA, 433 nt
Organism: Protobothrops mucrosquamatus (brown spotted pit viper)
Lineage: Eukaryota; Metazoa; Chordata; Lepidosauria; Squamata; Viperidae
Exons: 3
Source: RefSeq, a predicted model, not a curated record
AAUUUUUCAUGUAGAUCCUGCUGGAGGUCAACUUGAUUGUCAAUAUCGUUUUGAUGGUUUCUGUUCCCCAAACGACCUACCCUGCCCUGACUGUUUUUUUUCAUAUGGACAGUGUGAAUUUGACUUCCAGUGCUGUGCCAAAGAAAGUUGGAUUCCAGAGUGUGAAUAUGCAACUUCACCUGCUGAAAGUUUUUUUCCUAAAACAACAACUUCACAAAUAUUUUAUGAUGAAACCGAGGCAGCCAAAUAAACUGGUGUGACAUAAAUUCUUUUCCUGCUAAGUAAAAACAUCUGAGUAUCCUCUAACAGUGGAUGGAGCCUUUAAAGAUUAAUUUAAUUCCCCAAAAUGUUGGUUCUUAUGAGUUGCUGAUAAAAAAAACUGUUGUCAAAUGCUGAAACUGGUAUGCAUUAAAACUGAUACUUUCCAUACUUC